RNAcentral lists this ribosomal RNA (407 nucleotides) under uncultured bacterium. RNAcentral describes it as "partial 16S ribosomal RNA". It matches the Rfam family "Bacterial small subunit ribosomal RNA", at positions 30 to 526 of the family's 1533-position model. The record is from RNAcentral.
AUUGAACGCUGGCGGCAGGCCUAACACAUGCAAGUCGAGCGGAGCGGCGGACGGGUGAGUAAUGCCUAGGAAUCUGCCUGGUAGUGGGGGAUAACGUCCGGAAACGGGCGCUAAUACCGCAUCCUAUCAGAUGAGCCUAGGUCGGAUUAGCUAGUUGGUGGGGUAAAGGCAUACCAAGGCGACGAUCCGUAACUGGUCUGAGAGGAUGAUCAGUCACACUGGAACUGAGACACGGUCCAGACUCCUACGGGAGGCAGCAGUGGGGAAUAUUGGACAAUGGGCGAAAGCCUGAUCCAGUCAUGCCGCGUGUGUGAAGAAGGUCUUCGGAUUGUAAAGCACUUUAAGCUGGGAGGCGUUACCGACAGAAGAAGCACCGGCUAACUCCGUGCCAGCAGCCGCGGUAAUUC